GGGGUAGAAUUCCAGGAGUAGCGGUGAAAUGCGUAGAUAUCUGGAGGAAUACCAAAGGCGAAGGCAGUCCCCUGGUCCGAUACUGACACUGAGGUACGAAAGCGUGGGGAGCAAACAGGAUUAGAUACCCUGGUAGUCCACGCCCUAAACGAUGUCGAUUAGCCAUUGGAAGGACCCCUUUUCCUUUCAGUGACGUAGCUAACGCGUUAAAUCGACCGCCUGGGAAGUACGACCGCAAGGUUAAAACUCAAAGGAAUUGACGGGGACCUGAACAAGCGGUGAAUGAUGUGGAUUAAUUCGAUGCUACGCGAAGAACCUUACCUACCUUUGACAUGGCCAAAGUUCUACCGAGAGGCGGAAGUACUCGUAAGAGGAUUGGCGCACAGGUGCUGCAUGGUUGUCGUCAGUUCGUGUCGUGAGAUGUUGGGUUCAGUCCCGCAACGAACGCAACCCUUAUCUUUAAUUGCUCCUAUUUUAACAGGCACUUUAAAGAAACUGCCAAUGAUAAGUUGGAGGAAGGUGGGGAUCACGUCAAGUCCGCAUGGCCUUUAUAGGUAGGGCUUCACACGUCAUACAAUGGUUAGAACAAAGAGCUGCAAAUUCGUAAGAAGGAGCCAAUCUCACAAACCUAACCUCAGUUCGAAUUGCGGUCUGCAACUCGAGCGCAUGAAGCCGGAAUCGCUAGUAAUCGUGGAUCAGAAUGCCACGGUGAAUACGUUCUUAGGUCUU
Molecule: ribosomal RNA, 729 nt
Filed under: Candidatus Tremblayella phenacoccinincola
Lineage: Bacteria; Pseudomonadati; Pseudomonadota; Betaproteobacteria
Description: bacterial SSU rRNA
Rfam family: Bacterial small subunit ribosomal RNA
Source: RNAcentral